Molecule: ribosomal RNA, 164 nt
Filed under: uncultured Chlamydiales bacterium
Lineage: Bacteria; Pseudomonadati; Chlamydiota; Chlamydiia; Chlamydiales
Description: partial 16S ribosomal RNA
Rfam family: Bacterial small subunit ribosomal RNA
Source: RNAcentral
AGCUGCAGUCGAGGAUCUUUCGCAUGGGCGCAAGCCUAACGAAGCGACGCUGUGUGGACGAUGAAGGCCUUCGGGUUGUAAAGUCCUUUCGCGUAAGAACAAGAGAGGUUAACGAAUAAUUAGCCGAUUUGAGGGUACUACGUAAAGAAGCACCGGCUAACUCC